RNAcentral lists this ribosomal RNA (163 nucleotides) under Enterococcus faecalis. Its description in RNAcentral is "partial 16S ribosomal RNA". It matches the Rfam family "Bacterial small subunit ribosomal RNA", at positions 1380 to 1533 of the family's 1533-position model. The record is from RNAcentral. Lineage: Bacteria; Bacillati; Bacillota; Bacilli; Lactobacillales; Enterococcaceae.
CUUGUACACACCGCCCGUCACACCACGAGAGUUUGUAACACCCGAAGUCGGUGAGGUAACCUUUUUGGAGCCAGCCGCCUAAGGUGGGAUAGAUGAUUGGGGUGAAGUCGUAACAAGGUAGCCGUAUCGGAAGGUGCGGCUGGAUCACCUCCUUUCUAAGGAA